RNAcentral lists this unclassified non-coding RNA (1022 nucleotides) under Hevea brasiliensis (rubber tree). Lineage: Eukaryota; Viridiplantae; Streptophyta; Magnoliopsida; Malpighiales; Euphorbiaceae. The record is from RNAcentral.
UUUCAAGAUAUGACCAAUAAACUUGUCUUCAUAGUUGUCUUUGCUUGACUUUCACUCCUAUACCCUUUUCCAGAAUCGCCACAUAUAGUCAAGAAUCUCAAAACCCUCUAAAGAACAUAGUCUUGAUCCUACCAUUAAUGGCUGCUGCUGUUCCAGUUCAAAGGGUUCAAAGAAAUGAAGGUUUACCCACUUCUACUACUUCAGUUGUUCCUCAAAAGAAAUUGUCUAAUUGGUUGCCUUUGUUGGUUGGUCUUGUGGUUUUAGUUGAAAUUGCUUUUCUGGGUCGAUUAGAUAUGGCUGAAAAAGCUAAUCUUGUUAACUCGUGGGCUGAUUCAUUUUACAAGUUUACUACAACUGGUAAAGUGAGUAGUAUUAGUAGUAAUGGUGAUGAUGACCCUACUGGGUUAGUUGACUUGAGCGAUGAGGUUGAUCAAGAUUUGGUACCUGGGAGCUGUGAGGAAUGGCUGCUAAAGGAGGAUUCCAUGGAAUAUUCUAGAGAUUUUGACAAAGAUCCAAUUGUUGUUCAUGGUGGAGAUAAGGAUUGGAAGUCCUGUGCCGUGGGAUGCAAGUUCGGAGGGGAUUCUGAUAAGAAGCCUGAUGCAGCAUUUGGAACAACACAAGAGGCUGGCAAAGCUGGCGUGCUUCGGUCAAUGGAGUCAGCUCAAUACUAUCCUGAAAAUGAUGUUGCUAUGGCACGACGAAGGGGAUAUGAUAUUAUAAUGACAACAAGCCUCUCUUCAGAUGUUCCUGUUGGGUACUUCUCUUGGGCCGAGUAUGAUAUAAUGGCUCCAGUGCAACCUAAAACUGAGAAUGCAUUAGCAGCUGCUUUUAUUUCUAAUUGCGGUGCUCGCAACUUCCGGUUGCAAGCUCUUGAAGUUCUUGAAAGAGAAAUGAUCAAGAUUGAUUCUUUUGGCAGUUGUCAUCAUAAUCGGGAUGGAAAUGUGGACAAAGUGGAAACUCUCAAGCGCUUUAAAUUUAGCUUCGCUUUUGAGAAUUCUAAUGAGGAGGAUUAUGUCACUGAA